This 253-nucleotide ribosomal RNA is filed under the name uncultured bacterium. RNAcentral's name for it is "partial 16S ribosomal RNA". It matches the Rfam family "Bacterial small subunit ribosomal RNA", at positions 524 to 776 of the family's 1533-position model. The record is from RNAcentral.
CACGUAGGGUGCGAGCGUUGUCCGGAAUUAUUGGGCGUAAAGAGCUCGUAGGCGGCUCGUUGCGUCGGCUGUGAAAACCCGCAGCUCAACUGUGGGCUUGCAGCCGAUACGGGCGGGCUGGAGUUCGGUAGGGGAGACUGGAGUUCCUGGUGUAGCGGUGAAAUGCGCAGAUAUCAGGAGGAACACCGGUGGCGAAGGCGGGUCUCUGGGCCGAUACUGACGCUGAGACGCGAAAGCGUGGGGAGCGAACAGG